This 538-nucleotide unclassified non-coding RNA is filed under the name uncultured Pelagibacterales bacterium. Its description in RNAcentral is "partial 16S-23S ribosomal RNA intergenic spacer". The stretch from base 420 to 538 matches the Rfam family "Bacterial large subunit ribosomal RNA", at positions 1 to 120 of the family's 2925-position model. Lineage: Bacteria; Pseudomonadati; Pseudomonadota; Alphaproteobacteria; Candidatus Pelagibacterales. The record is from RNAcentral.
CCUCCUUUCUAAGGAUGAGUGAAAGUAAAAUUUCACUCUAAAUAAUAUACAUCGGUAAUGUUGACCGUCCUCAUUUCUCUUCUUAAAGUAAUGUUUCCUUCUUGUAGGGCCGGUAGCUCAGUUGGUUAGAGCACACCCUUAAUAAGGGUGGGGUCGAAAGUUCGAGUCUUUCUCGGCCCACCAAAAACCUAAAUGGGGGAUUAGCUCAUCUGGGAGAGCGCCUGAUUUGCAUUCAGGAGGUAGCAGGUUCGAUCCCUGUAUCCUCCACCAGGAAACAUUUAGUUAUUAAAACUGUAAAUAAAAAUAAUUUAUAUCAAUAUCUAUAUCCGAACAUUAAAAGUUAUUAAUUAAUGUUCAAAAUAAAAAUUUGAUCACAACAUAGAUNAAUUUUCUUUAAAAAGAAUUUUUUUCUGUGCAUAAAUCAAGCGUUUAAGGGCGUGUAGUGGAUGCCUGGGCACUGAAAGCCGAUGAAGGACGUGAUAUACUGCGAUAAGUUUCGGGGAGCUGUAUGUAAGCUUUGAUCCGAAAAUUCCGAAUG